Molecule: long non-coding RNA, 5666 nt
Organism: Oncorhynchus keta (chum salmon)
Lineage: Eukaryota; Metazoa; Chordata; Actinopteri; Salmoniformes; Salmonidae
Exons: 2
Source: RefSeq, a predicted model, not a curated record
UUGCCAGAGAAUGUAAUGUUAAUUUCUCUACCAUAACAUUGUUUUAGAGAAUUUGGCUAUAUUUCCCACAGCCUCACAACCACAGACCACAUGUAACCACGACAGCCAGCUUCUUCACCUGCAGGGUCGUCUGAGACCAGCCACCCGGACAGCUGAUGAAACUUUCCCAACCGAUAUCCAGCAACUUCGCACAGCCAUUGAAGAGGUGUGGGACAACAUUCCACAGUCCUCAAUCAACAGCCUGAUGCAGAGCAAAGGAGAUGUGCCGCGCUGCAUGAGGUAAAUGGUGGUCACACUAGAUACUGACUGGUUUUCUGAUCCACGCCCCAAAUUUUUUAACUUUAAGGUAUCUGGGACCAACAGAUGCAUAUCUGUAUUCCCAGUCAUGUGAAAUCCUUAGAUUAGGGCCUAAUCAUUUAAAAAAAUAUAUAUUUUAAUUUGACUGAUUUCCUUAUAUGAACUGUAACUCAGUAAAAACUUUGAAAUUGUUGCAUGUUGCAUUUAUAUUUUUGUUCAGUAUAUAUUUGUGAACCUAUUCCUGAAGGCGUAUGGCUUCCUGGAGACUCUUCUGUUUUGUUGUUACCUAAUCUGGUGAGGCACAUUAGGCUACUUAACGCAGAAAGACUACAGUCUGGAGGCUGCCACACUAAACAUGCGCUAGUCAAGUGCCUGAAGAAAAAUUACUCGUACCUGGCAAGUGAUACAUCUGGUGGAGUGGAAACUAGAAUGAGGACAAAAGUGAUUCACCCAGGAUGUGGAGUCGCUCUAUCUGCUUCAGUGAAACGUUCAAUGCCACUCCAGGUCACCAGCCAUGCUAGAGUCAUUGCCCUUACUGGCUGGUCGGUACAUCAGCAUAAUUCAUACUGAAGGCUCAGGUUAAUGGCAGUAAAUGAGAUAAGAUUGCCUCACCUGACUCAUUCGCCCUUUCUGCCCCAAGCGUUAGUUCAUUAUUCAUAAGCACUGUAGGAUUGUUUUGACUGCUCUCACCCACACACAGCUGAGACAGAGCUAAUACAAUUACAGGAAUAGUUAACCAACGCCCUAUAAUUGAAACGGGUCCACUGCACUGGGCUACAGAGCCACUGUAGUGGAACGACCACAAUGUUGACCAUUUAGCUCUUUUCAGUGUAGAAUUCAGUUGCUAAUCCAGUCCUUAAUCGCACAUUCAUGGCGCGCACAUACGGCUUACAAACACGCCAUCUGCUUCACUAUAUCUAUAGACAUCUGUAGAGCAUUCCCACUGGGCACACACUGGUUGAAUCAACGUUGUUUCCACGUCAUUUCAAUGAAAUUACAUGGAACCAAUGUGGAAUAGAUGUUGAAUUGGAGUCUGUGCCCAGUGGGUUGUUUUAUGUUUGUGUGUAACGUCUUCCGAUGCUUUUGCAUGUGGUUCAGGGCGAUUUUAAUAUCUCUUGUCUUUCUGUCUAACCUAAGAGGAAAUUAAAGAGCACAGCACUUCCUGUGUGUUCCUCCCAGGGGAGUGGGCCUAUGUCACUGUGUGGACUGGUCUGAGGCAACACCUCUGUCAACCUAAGCAUCAUCUUGUGUAAAAGCCUAUCUGCAAAGGCAAGUAGCUUCUGAAGUUAGAGGUAGGCUAUAUUUAGGCUAUCAGCAUUUCUUUUUUACUUUCUGUUUGCAUGACUAUUAAUGAUUAUGCCUAUAUGCUGCUGAAGCCUAGGCAACAUAGUUCUAUUUUUAUUAGCAUCCCGUGAUUUUUGUCCUCGACUUCUAUUCAGAGGUCUCUGGAAACAUGUUUAUUUUAAGAUCAGCGUCACAACAUACUUUCUAAUGCAAAAUGUCUUCUUUCCCUGUCUGACAUCAAAGAUGCAAUCCCUGAUGUCCGGCAGAGGUGCUUUGGAGCGCACCACAGCUUUGCUUACAGAGAGAACAAGGCUAUCUGAUGGUAUAGGUCUGCUCUGCAAUUGUGGCAUUGUUGUUAUGCAUAUAGUAGGGCAGGUUAUAAAUGUGUACUACCAAAUGCUGAUACUGUAAUUUUCCAUGGCAUAGCGGCCAUUUUCUAUAGUCUACUUUAUCCUUGUUGAAGGUGAGCUGUUGGGGUAGGUUAAAAUGGCUGCCCGUUUAUGGGGUACCAUUUGUCCCUGUUCCAGAUUGCCAUUAGACCAUGAUGUUGAGAUGAGACCACCUCUUCGUAACAAAAAUAUCAUUUUCCAUAUACCCUUAGUUGAAUACUGCCCUAGAGGCAUCCAUAUUGCACCCAAUUGCUUGUUCAACUACAUUACAGCUACGUGUUUUAAUAUUGAAACUCUACUCAUUUUCAGUCUCUAUAUUUCAACUGACUGUCCUAGGCAUCACACUCUACAUAUUACUCAGAAAAGGCAGGGAAGAACGAAUAACCUAAUGACAGAGGUUAGAUUUACAUAAUUGCACAGCAAUAAACCAUACAUUCCGCCCCAGGCCAUAAAACACUAAUUUGGCUUAAAAUGUCCGUAUUGAAACAUAAAAAUGCGUAGUCACUUAACUUAUUAUUAAAAUGAUCAAGCACACUUGUUUGAAGAAAAAUGCAUCUUAAUAAAAUACAUAUUUUUGCUCAUGUUUUCUCUAGGUGCCACGAUUACAAUAUGGCUGGCAGCAGACAGAGAAGAGAAGCCUUGCGUAUCGCUGGGAAACACAGCCUCCUGCCUCCCCGUCUGACAGGCCUAUGUUGUCAUGGCAACAUGCUGUGGCGCAGCACUUAUUGGGAUUCAGAUUCAGACGGAUGGUGGGGCUGGUGGGCGACUGCAUUAGCCGUCCGGGGAUUUGGUUUGGUCCUUCCUCGCAGCGAGCCCUGCCUGUCUGAGAGCCACAGCACCGCAGAGCUCCCAGGCUCCAACACCACCGCAAUGGAGGCUCGCCGCCCUUUGUUUCCACUCUGGAUAUGUGUCAGUGUGUGUGUGAGUCUGCAGCAGAAAUGCAGCAGCCGAUGGACUUUUCUCUCUUCUGCUUAUGGCAGGCGAUGUGCUUCAGCCUUGAUGCUGAUUUCCCCUGGUUUGUGCCGCUUUCCUUGUAUUUUCAUCUGGAAAUUGCCUGCAUAUCUGCGGUUUCAGUUGAUUCUUUUCAAUAAGGGCUGAUAUGACCAAUUUUCUCUCAUCUUGAUGUGCUUUACCCUGUUCACACAUUGAGCGGAAAUGUUGAAUUUGUCAUGAACGGUUGUCUCUUUGCCACACCCUAGUUCACUGUGCCUUAGAAUAUCAUGCGAUAUGCAUUUCAAACCCGUAAACAUUUAAAUUCCCUCAUUUCUGUGAUCCACAAGGCGAGAACAAAACUGUCUUGAAUACAAGCUGUCUAGUCAAACAAAGAGCGAAAAUGGCAUAGCAGAACCCAGUCAAGCCACCCCAUGCAAUAUGUGUAUUUCCGUUAAAGAUUGGUUGGAAACGUGCAGAACAUACCUUUGCGAAUCAGAUAAAAUGACACAGGAGGCGAACAGCUGACACAGGAGGCGAACAGCCAAAAACAUUACGCAGUGUCCUUCCACUAUAGUCCAUAUUCUCUACCGUACAGGAAAAAAAACUUUUGUGAAAGGAAGGCGAAAGUAGGCACUUUUUUUUCUAGACUCGUCGCUGCUCAGUGGUGCCGUUGGAGGCAGAGCUUUCGCUGUUGUCUUUCUUUCCUCCUCUCCCAUUCCCUCCCUCUCUCUUUCUACACUGCUCACUCUGCUUCAACGUCCUUCGUCUCUCCCUAGGUCCUGGUCGAGUACUCCCGCACUCUCCUCUUCCACCCAGUCCUGUCCUGGCUUGCCCCAGCUCUCAGACCAUUGACCACAGGAUUCCCACAUUGAAGUUUAAAAAUAGCUAGACUGGACUAUGGGUCUGUCUGCUGCCUCUGUGCUGCCCGGCUAACUGAAGCCCAGCGGCAUCUACUUUGCAGUCGCCAAGCAGGAAACGGCAACUUUAUUAAUCAUGGCUGAGGACGGUAAAAGAGAGUGGCUCAGUGCUACAUCACACAGCACUACGCCGUGCUGCACAGAUCACAGAGAAAACACCUAGGUUGCACGCCUGCUAUCGGGGUUACGGCGAUACAACUUCAACCAUACCACAAAGUUCACCCACAAUCACAUUUCUGCUCAACUUCUACACCGACACCAUUCAUACUGUAUCUCACAGUCCAAAAGGGAAGCUGGAUCUGUAGCUCACUUUCAAACAGUCACAUCACGCUCUCCAUCUGUCUCAUGCCUAUGCACACAUGCACUUUCUCUUUGUGUGUGCUAUUGUGUACACUCAACCCUCUCUCGCUCUUUGUCAGCACAUCUGUGUGCAUUGCCUCAUGAACAUGAUAAGCCUACAAAGCUCGUUUGUAUAUAGCAGCAUAAUCAAUGAGAUAUCUGUGACUAUAUAUGGUUUAUUUCUCUCAUCUACUUCUGCACUUUCAAAGUAAGAGAUAGUGAGAGAAAAAAGGAUGUAGAAGAGAGCAGGGGGAGAGGAGGACCGUCAUCUUUAUGGAGGCUGCUGAUGGAUGGGAACACAGAGGGAUGCCUCAUCACUGCAGAGUGCAGGAGGGAGGGGCUAAACCAAGCAGGCAGGGCAAUGCUAGCCCCACCAGCUGCUGUAGAUGCACACAGUUGCUUUAUGCAUAUGAAGGCGGAAGGGUUUUAUUACAAGUGUUUUUGAAUUUGCAAACGUGUCUUUGCUUUCUUUCCAGGGUCAGGGAUGAGGCUUCUGCACCCGGGUGUGAAAUCCAUGCACAUUUUACAUUUACUUGGUCUCACAGAACAGAUUUGCCUCAUGAAAUGCAUGGAAGACAUUUGUUGUGCACUUUCUACCAGUGUUCCUUAAGCUUAUCAUGAAAAUCCCCAUGCCUCUGUCCCCUCCUGCUUUCUGUGCUUUCUCUCUCCUCUGCUCAUUACUAGUCACAUGGCCUUGUGGUUGUGAUCGACACACAAUUAACCACAAGCUCAGCCGUCUGCCAGCUAUUUCUGGUGCAGGCCUACCCGGCUUGAUUGUUGACAUUACCUGAGUGCGAUCAAGGCCCCUGUCUGCUUGCAUUGGCCUGGGUAAGCAGUACACCAGCCUGGAGCACGCCAGCCCUCACACUUCUGUAAGCCGCUGCACUUUGGCAUGACCUUGUUGCUGUGGCAACCUUUGAAGAAAACAGUGCUACCUUAACAGCAUGGUGGUAUGAAAGAGUAAAGGUUGCGAACCUUACACGUUCUGGGAGGGAGCCUCUGAAAGCCAAAGGAAAUAUGAUUUGACAUGUUUGAGUGGCCACUAUCAUGCCUUUAUCUCAGUUUUUCCUCUGGUGUCUUUCCGUUCUCUUCCUUCAGUGUUAAGACAUUCCUGCUAUGUAUGGUUAAUGGUCUUGCCUGCUUCCUCCCCACUUUUCCUGUAUUUGUAGUCUUGCCUGCACAAUCGAUUUCCACUGGUGAACUGCAGGGGAACUCAACAUCCCAAAACAAAUAAUAAGUCUAGCCCUCCUUUACCAUCCAUGCUGUUUAAAAAAUAAAAAAUAAAUUGUUUUAAGAAUUGCAAAUGAAGUGCCUGCAGUACCUACUGUUUGUCUCAAUUACCACAACCCCUCUCCCACAGUAUUUGUUAGUACUUCGAAUGUCUUGCAAACAAAGAAUACAUAAAGAGCGGUUGAAAUUUGAACAAAUCAUUUGGACAAAUUUAUAUUGCUAUGAACACAUGAUUAUUUGUGGAUAUUGGAGAAAUUAAAAUGAUCCAACCUGUUGA